UACGAAGGGUGCAAGCGUUACUCGGAAUUACUGGGCGUAAAGCGUGCGUAGGCGGUUUGUUAAGUCCGCUGUGAAGGCCCUGGGCUCAACCUGGGAAUUGCAGUGGAUACUGGCAAGCUAGAGUGCGGUAGAGGAUGGUGGAAUUCCCGGUGUAGCGGUGAAAUGCGUAGAGAUCGGGAGGAACACCCGUGGCGAAGGCGGCCAUCUGGACCAGCACUGACGCUGAGGCACGAAAGCGUGGGGAGCAAACAGG
Molecule: ribosomal RNA, 253 nt
Filed under: uncultured bacterium
Lineage: Bacteria
Description: partial 16S ribosomal RNA
Rfam family: Bacterial small subunit ribosomal RNA
Source: RNAcentral